This 449-nucleotide ribosomal RNA is filed under the name uncultured bacterium. RNAcentral describes it as "bacterial SSU rRNA". It matches the Rfam family "Bacterial small subunit ribosomal RNA", at positions 355 to 796 of the family's 1533-position model. The record is from RNAcentral.
UGAGGAAUAUUGCACAAUGGGGGAAACCCUGAUGCAGCGACGCCGCGUGGAGGAUGACGGUCUUCGGAUUGUAAACUCCUGUUAAGUGGGAAGAAAGAACUAUCUUUAAUAGAGAUAGGAGAUGACGGUACCACUAGAGAAAGCACCGGCUAACUUUGUGCCAGCAGCCGCGGUAAUACAAGGGGUGCUAGCGUUAUUCGGAUUCAUUGGGCGUAAAGGGUACGUAGACGGCGUGCUAAGUUAGUUGUUAAAUCUCUCGGCCUAACCGAGAUCAAGCGAUUAAUACUGGCAUGCUAGAGGGUGAGAGAGAGGAGUGGAAUUCUCGGAGUAGCGGUAAAAUGCGUAGAUAUCGAGAGGAACACCGAUGGCGAAGGCAGCUCCUUGGCUCAUUCCUGACGUUGAGGUACGAAAGCGUGGGUAGCAAACAGGAUUAGAUACCCGCGUAGUCC